UGGGGAAUAUUGCACAAUGGGCGCAAGCCUGAUGCAGCCAUGCCGCGUGUGUGAAGAAGGCCUUCGGGUUGUAAAGCACUUUCAGCGAGGAGGAAGGGUAGUGUGUUAAUAGCACAUUGCAUUGACGUUACUCGCAGAAGAAGCACCGGCUAACUCCGUGCCAGCAGUCGCGGUAAUACGGAGGGUGCAAGCGUUAAUCGGAAUUACUGGGCGUAAAGCGCACGCAGGCGGUUUGUUAAGUCAGAUGUGAAAUCCCCGCGCUUAACGUGGGAACUGCAUUUGAAACUGGCAAGCUAGAGUCUUGUAGAGGGGGGUAGAAUUCCAGGUGUAGCGGUGAAAUGCGUAGAGAUCUGGAGGAAUACCGGUGGCGAAGGCGGCCCCCUGGACAAAGACUGACGCUCAGGUGCGAAAGCGUGGGGAGCAAACA
Molecule: ribosomal RNA, 427 nt
Filed under: uncultured bacterium
Lineage: Bacteria
Description: partial 16S ribosomal RNA
Rfam family: Bacterial small subunit ribosomal RNA
Source: RNAcentral